GCAAAAGUCUCACUGGCAUUCACAGCCCCCUUAGGACAUGAUGCGGACAUUGCUUCUAUCCUGCCUGUUCCUGUUCAUCUAUUUGGCAGGAUUCUGCGAGUCUCAGAAGAUUCUGCAGUCUCAGCAGCAUGUGUCGGUGAAAUUGGAAGGAUCUGCAACUAUUCCUUGCACCCAAAGCGGCAGUGAUGCUUACAUGUACUGGUAUCGUCAGAUCCCGGGCCAGGGAUUGCAUAAUCUCUUGUACGCAGUGCACGGAGAAGACCCGACGAGGUCGGACGGGAUCACAGAGAGAUUUUUCGCCAAGAAGACAAAAGACGGCUCUUUCGACCUAAACAUAGAGAACGUGCAACCAAGCGACACGGCUCAGUAUUUCUGUGCCUGCAGUGAUGCACAGAGUCUUAGCUGGCAUCGAACGAGGUUUGGUCAGACUGCCUGCUUCUACCACACUUAA
Non-coding RNA from Hemiscyllium ocellatum (epaulette shark), 451 nucleotides. Lineage: Eukaryota; Metazoa; Chordata; Chondrichthyes; Orectolobiformes; Hemiscylliidae. The record is from the annotation of a RefSeq genome assembly.